CAGUCGCCGCGGUAAUACGAGGGGUGCAAGCGUUAUUCGGAUUGACUGGGUGUAGAGGGUGUGCAGACGGCUUAUUAAGUCACUUGUUAAAUUCUUCGGCCUAACUGAAGGUCUGCAAGUGAUACUGAUGAGCUAGAGGGUGGAAGAGAGAAGUGGAAUUCUCGGAGUAGCGGUAAAAUGCGUAGAUCUCGAGAGGAACACCAAUGGCGAAGGCAGCUUCUUGGUCCAUUCCUGACGUUCAUACACGAAAGCGUGGGGAGCAAACAGGAUUAGAUACCCGGGUAGUCCCUGUCUCUUAUAC
RNAcentral lists this ribosomal RNA (301 nucleotides) under uncultured bacterium. Its description in RNAcentral is "partial 16S ribosomal RNA". It matches the Rfam family "Bacterial small subunit ribosomal RNA", at positions 509 to 807 of the family's 1533-position model. The record is from RNAcentral.